Varanus komodoensis (Komodo dragon) is the source of this 1990-nucleotide long non-coding RNA. RefSeq lists it as uncharacterized. The record is from RefSeq and is a predicted model, not a curated record. NCBI's taxonomy places the organism in Eukaryota, Metazoa, Chordata, Lepidosauria, Squamata, Varanidae. The transcript is spliced from 3 exons.
GCUGGCAUGAUUUUGAUGGUUGGAAUGUGUUUAGAGUUGGCAGAAAAGAUGAGGUGCGCAGAAAAAGCUACUCAAGCAGUGCUUUUUCAAAAUCGCUGUCUUACAUUGGUAAUUGAGCCAUACAUUAGGGUUGGGAGUAUGCAGCAGGGUAGGGUUAGGGUUAGACCAAAUUGGUGACCUGGCAUGAUUUUGAUGGUUGGAAUGUGUUUAGAGUUAGAAGAAAAGAUGAGGUCCGCAGAAAACGCUGCUCGAGCAGUGCUUUUUCAAAAUCGCUGUCUUUCAUUGGUACUUGAGCCCUACAUUAGGGUUUCAGUAUGCACCAAUGUAGGGUUAGGGUUACACAAAAUUGUUGUCCUAGGCCAGAUUUUGAUGGUUGGAAAGUGUUUGGAUUGGCAGAAAAGAUGAGGUGCGCAGAAAAAGCUACUCGAGCAGUGCUUUUUCAAAAUCGCGGUCUUUCAUUGGUAAUUGGGCCCUACAUUAGGGUUGGGGGUAUGCACCAGGGUAGGGUUAAGGUUAGACAAAAUUGGUCUCCUGGCAUCAUUCUGAUGGUUGAAAUGUGUUCAGAGUGGGCAGAAAUCAUGAUCUGCCCAAAACAAGCUACUCAAGCAGUGCUUUUCCAAAAUCGCUGUCUUUCAUUGGUAAUUGAGCACUAAAUUAGGGUUGGGAGUAUGCACCAGGGUAGGGUUAGGGGUAGAAAAAAUUGGUGUCCUGGCAUGAUUUUGAUGGUUGGAAUAUGUUUAGAGUUGGCCGAAAAGAUGAGGUGCGCAGAAAAAGUUCCUCAAGCAGUGCUUUUUGAAAAUCGGUGUCUUUCAUUGGUAAUUGAGCCCUACAUUAGGGUUGGGAGUGUGCACGAUGGUAGGGUUAGGGUUAGACAAACUUGGUGUCCUGGCAUGAUUUUGAUGGUUGGAAUGUGUUUGAGUUGGCAGAAAAGAUGAGAUGCGCAGAAAAAGCUACUCAAGCAGUGCAUUUUCAAAAUCGCUGUCUUUCAUUGGUAAUUUAGCCCUAAAUUAGGGUUGGGAGUAUGCACCAGGGCUGGGUUAGGGUUAGACCAAAUUGGUGUCCUGGCAUGAUUUUGAUGGUUGGAAUGUGUUUAGAGUUGGCAGAAAAGAUGAGGUGCGCAGAAAAAGCUACUCAAGCAGUGCAUUUUCAAAAUCGCUGUCUUUCAUUGGUAAUUGAACCCUACAUUAGGGUUGGGAAUAUGCAGCAAGGUAGGGUUAGGGUUAGAAAAAAUUGGUGUGCUGGCAUGAUUUUGAUGGUUGGAAUGUGUUUAGAGUUGGCAGAAAAGAUGAGGUGCGCAGAAAAAGCUACUCAAGCAGUGCUUUUUCAAAAUCGCGGUCUUUCAUUGGUAAUUGAGUCCUACAUUAGGGUUGGGAGUAUGCACCAGGGUAGGGUUAGGGUUAGAAAAAAUCGGUGUCCUGGCAUCAUUCUGAUGGUUGAAGUGUGUUCAGAGUGGGCAGAAAUGAUGAGCUGCGCAGAAAAAGUUACUCAAGCAGUGCUUUUUCAAAAUCGCUGUCUUUCAUCGGUAAUUGAGCCCUACAUUAGAGUUGGGAAUAUGCACCAAGGUAGGGUUAGGGUUAGAAAAAAUUGGUGUCCUGGCAUGAUUCUGAUGGUUGAAAUGUGUUUAGUGUGGGCAGAAAUGAUGAGCUGCGCAGAAAAAGCUACUCAAGCAGUGCUUUUUCAAAAUCGCUGUCUUUCAUUGGUAAUUGAGCCCUACAUUAGGCUUUGGGUAUGCAGCAGGGUAGGGUUAGGGUCAGAAAAAAUCGGUUUCCAGGCAUGAUUCUGAUGGUUGUAAUGUGUUUAGCAUGGGCAGAAAUGUGGAGUUGUGCAGAAGAGGCUAUUCAAGGACCUUGUUUUCAAAAUCUCCCCCUUUUCAUUGUAAAUUUAGCCCUAUAUUUGGGAUAGGAGGAAGCACCAGGGUUGAGUUAGAGUUUGAAAAAUGAGGUGUCCUGGCAUGAUUCUUUCAUUCAGAAUGUGUUUUGAAUGGGCAGAA